This 500-nucleotide ribosomal RNA is filed under the name uncultured bacterium. RNAcentral describes it as "partial 16S ribosomal RNA". It matches the Rfam family "Bacterial small subunit ribosomal RNA", at positions 30 to 523 of the family's 1533-position model. The record is from RNAcentral.
AUUGAACGCUGGCGGAACGCUUUACACAUGCAAGUCGAACGGCAGCACGGACUUCGGUCUGGUGGCGAGUGGCGAACGGGUGAGUAAUGUAUCGGAACGUGCCCAGUCGUGGGGGAUAACGUAGUGAAAAUUACGCUAAUACCGCAUACGAUCUAUGGAUGAAAGCGGGGGAUCGCAAGACCUCGCGCGAUUGGAGCGGCCGAUAUCAGAUUAGGUAGUUGGUGGGGUAAAGGCCCACCAAGCCAACGAUCUGUAGCUGGUCUGAGAGGAAGAUCAGCAACACUGGAACGGAGAUACGGUCCAGACUCCUCAGGGAGGCAGCAGUGGGGAAUUUUGGACAAUGGGCGAAAGCCUUAUCCAGCCCUUCCGCGUGCAGGAUGAAGGCCCUGGUGUUGUAAACUGCUUUUGUACAGAACGAAAAGGUUUCUACUAAUACUAGGAGCUCAUGACGGUACUGUAAGAAUAAGCACCGGCUAACUACGUGCCAGCAGCCGCGGUAA